RNAcentral lists this ribosomal RNA (486 nucleotides) under uncultured bacterium. Its description in RNAcentral is "partial 16S ribosomal RNA". It matches the Rfam family "Bacterial small subunit ribosomal RNA", at positions 36 to 507 of the family's 1533-position model. The record is from RNAcentral.
CUUUCCCUCUUCCUUCCUGCCUUACACAUGCAAGUCGAACGGCAGCACGGGUGCUUGCACCUGGUGGCGAGUGGCGAACGGGUGAGUAAUACAUCGGAACAUGUCCUGUAGUGGGGGAUAGCCCGGCGAAAGCCGGAUUAAUACCGCAUACGAUCUACGGAUGAAAGCGGGGGACCUUCGGGCCUCGCGCUAUAGGGUUGGCCGAUGGCUGAUUAGCUAGUUGGUGGGGUAAAGGCCUACCAAGGCGACGAUCAGUAGCUGGUCUGAGAGGACGACCAGCCACACUGGGACUGAGACACGGCCCAGACUCCUACGGGAGGCAGCAGUGGGGAAUUUUGGACAAUGGGCGAAAGCCUGAUCCAGCAAUGCCGCGUGUGUGAAGAAGGCCUUCGGGUUGUAAAGCACUUUUGUCCGGAAAGAAAUCCUUGGCCCUAAUACGGUCGGGGGAUGACGGUACCGGAAGAAUAAGCACCGGCUAACUACGUG